UGUACAAGAAAGGUUGCAACUGAUGCACAAAGUCAACAUUAGUCAUCAAAAAAAAAACGUCACAUUUAACCAGUGCCAAGAGGCCGAGUAGCCAUGAAACAGUUCGUUUUUCAAAAAGCAAUGUUAUUUUAAGCCAAUGACAGUUCUUAAAAGAUACAAAGGUAAAUGGAAAAUAUAAAUAAUUAAUAGUAAGGACACAAGCAAUUAACUUAGUUUAGCCAUCUAAGACUACGCAGCAUUUAACACUUGACUCACAGUUCUAUGAACCAAGACCUGACAAACAUACUCAAAUAAAAAACACAAGUGGACUUUAUGUUGGGGUGACAGUUCAUUCAAGUGUCGACAUCAGCUGAAGAGUCUUAUAAAAGCUCUGCCUUGGGAAGUCUGCACUGGCUCAUUGCUGAAAAGAAACUUUCUCCAUCACGCCGGGGAGCAGCAAGAGCCGGAGGAACAGAAACUGGACACAGCUCCCCUCCCUGACAGAACCAGCGAAAAGUGAUGAUGUCUGGAUGAAAUCUUGUCUUUGCCCUUAUACGAGAUCCGGCAUUUGAAGACUGCUCCCUUGUGAAUGGACAGAUUGG
Triplophysa dalaica is the source of this 581-nucleotide long non-coding RNA. RefSeq lists it as uncharacterized. The record is from RefSeq and is a predicted model, not a curated record. Lineage: Eukaryota; Metazoa; Chordata; Actinopteri; Cypriniformes; Nemacheilidae. The transcript has 3 exons.